AAAGAUUAAGCCAUGCAUGUCUAAGUAUAAGCAAUCUAUACAGUGAAACUGCGAAUGGCUCAUUAUAUAAGUUAUCGCUUAUUUGAUAGUACCUUACUACAUGGAUAACCGUGGUAAUUCUAGAGCUAAUACAUGCUAAAAAUCCCGACUUCGGAAGGGAUGUAUUUAUUAGAUUAAAAACCAAUGCCCUUCGGGGCUCUCUGGUGAUUCAUGAUAACUUCUCGAAUCGCACGGCCUUGCGCCGGCGAUGGUUCAUUCAAAUUUCUGCCCUAUCAACUUUCGACGGCUGGGUCUUGGCCAGCCGUGGUGA
Molecule: ribosomal RNA, 310 nt
Filed under: uncultured fungus
Lineage: Eukaryota; Fungi
Description: SSU rRNA
Rfam family: Eukaryotic small subunit ribosomal RNA
Source: RNAcentral